AGCGAACGCUGGCGGCAGGCUUAACACAUGCAAGUCGAGCGGGCCCUUCGGGGUCAGCGGCAGACGGGUGAGUAACACGUGGGAACGUACCCUUUGGUUCGGAAUAACGCUGGGAAACUAGCGCUAAUACCGGAUACGCCCUUUUGGGGAAAGGCUUGCUGCCGAAGGAUCGGCCCGCGUCUGAUUAGCUAGUUGGUGGGGUAAUGGCCUACCAAGGCGACGAUCAGUAGCUGGUCUGAGAGGAUGAUCAGCCACACUGGGACUGAGACACGGCCCAGACUCCUACGGGAGGCAGCAGUGGGGAAUAUUGGACAAUGGGCGCAAGCCCGAUCCAGCCAUGCCGCGUGAGUGAUGAAGGCCUUAGGGUUGUAAAGCUCUUUUGUCCGGGACGAUAAUGACGGUACCGGAAGAAUAAGCCCCGGCUAACUUCGUG
This 433-nucleotide ribosomal RNA is filed under the name uncultured bacterium. RNAcentral describes it as "partial 16S ribosomal RNA". It matches the Rfam family "Bacterial small subunit ribosomal RNA", at positions 29 to 507 of the family's 1533-position model. The record is from RNAcentral.